Molecule: long non-coding RNA, 1247 nt
Organism: Chrysemys picta bellii (western painted turtle)
Lineage: Eukaryota; Metazoa; Chordata; Testudines; Emydidae
Source: RefSeq, a predicted model, not a curated record
AGAAACCUGUCACCACCCCCCCUUCCCCGGUGCACCUGCUGCUGCGCCGAGCCUGCGCCCGGGGAUCGCCCGCGAGGGAGUCUAGCCUGGCGGGCUGGGCUGCCAUCUGCUAGGUGCCUAGGCACGGGGGUCCGUCCAGCCGCUCUGGGCCGCGGCUCGCCAUGUCCGUCUCACGAGCCAUUUUUAUUAUGGUAUCCAAAAAGCCGCCAGCGAAGUGCGGGUCCCGUUGUGCUCGGGGCUUUACCAACACGCAGGGUCCCGCGGAUCCCCCUUCCCCGCAUUGUGCUUCGCGCGCGUGAAUAGCUCCCUUGCAAUCAGCUGGGCAGGACUGCCUACAGCCUGAGAGUUGAGGACAUGCUGUGUAAGGUUGGAGGUCCCUGCAACGGGCCCCGCAAUCUAAGGCUCUGAUCCUGCAAACAUGGAUCAGGGGUGUCUGCUGGUGACUCUUCUGAUGUUUUGUGAACAGCUUCAGCCCAUGUUUGCCAACGAGACUUCUGUGGGUUGUGGUUCAGCCAUAUGACCCUUGGAACUAGGUCUUCAGAUCACAUUGCCAAUCCUUCCAGCAGAGGAGAGCUGAACAUGGUUCCUUCCUUGAGCUAGCUGGAGAGUUUGGAAGCCCCUUCUUAUGGGCUGAUCAUAUUACCUCUGGUCCCAGUUCCUGCUGCCCUGGACAAGAACUACUAUCGUUGAGUAGUAGGGCUUUGCACUGUGACUAAAUCACUGAGUUAAUCCAUGUGUCUUUGUUUUACUAAUGUCUCCAUCAAGGCUUGAACUAAGGGGGAAACAGUGGGACUAUUCCAGCAAGCUCUGUCCACAAAAUAAGUUCCACCCAUAAAUUACAAAAUGUGACAUCACUUGCAGUAAAUUGUACAGUUACUCAAAAUAUAAAUAUGCAUACCCUCAACUCCACUGAGUUCCUUGAGAUUGGUGGAGCUUGAAUAUGGCUCUGGGGUUUUCUUGGAUUUGGCUUCCCCUUGGUGGAGCUCAGAUACCCUGCUUGGUUUGGUUUGGCUCAUUCUUGAUUUGGAGGGGGAGGGGGGAACGUGGUGUAAUCUCCCAGCGCCACCCACUCUUGGUAACAAAAUGGGUUGUAAAUCAAAGUAAAAUGUUCAGAUCUAUGAUUAUCUUCCCUCUCUUUUCUUACAGGAGGAAUGAAAUAUUUAACAUUAACAUUUAAAUCAUCAUCACUAGAUAUCUACUUUAAUGCAGAUUUCCCAUGACCCAUAACAAGGUUGAUAUCUUCUCAU